CCGCUUCGGGGCCGGGGACUGAGGUGGCGGCGCUUCCUGCUGCCGCGGGUCGCGUUCUGUCUUUAAAAAAUCUUCUGGCGGCGUUUACCACCACGCACCUCUUCAGAGGCGGUGAGGAGUAAUCCUCCCAUGACAGGACCCGAAGCAAUAGCAGUUUUUACUCUCAGAGCGCCCGCUCUGCGUCCUGGAGGGCGUUUGAGUUAGGGGUUUAUGCUCUAUAAUAAUAAUGGCAGUAGUUCUCGUUUGUUGGGCGCCCACACUGGCCGCCAUACCCUCAAUCCCCGUGAAGUAGGGACUGUUUAUCUCACUUUACAGACUGAUUAGGAUGCCAUCAGAGCACCAAAGAAGGGAGUGGCAGACAUCUUCACAGAGGCAGCCGGAUGACUGGGAGGAAUUUGGACCCUGAAGUAGAGAAGGCUUGCUUUCCAUGCCUUUCAUCUUCGGCCGUGAACCUCAUGUCUCUGAGCAUCUGUGCAGUGGGGGCUUCGGGAAGCUGUUAGGGUUUGUUGAGAUAACAUUUGCACCAUUGUAUUAAUUUUCUGUGGCUGCCUCGACAACUUACAACAAAGAGCAUAAAACAA
This is a long non-coding RNA of Myotis brandtii (Brandt's bat), 581 nucleotides long. RefSeq lists it as uncharacterized. The transcript is spliced from 2 exons. Lineage: Eukaryota; Metazoa; Chordata; Mammalia; Chiroptera; Vespertilionidae. The record is from RefSeq and is a predicted model, not a curated record.